AAGUCCAAUAAUGUAUUUCCCUUUGCUUGCUCCAUCAUGUGCUUCCAACGCUUCCUACAAUACCAAAACAAUAACACAUUGAUCAGCAAAUUAUAGACACCAGGGUUUCAAAGAUCAGGAUCAAGAAUUUAGAAACAGAAUGUUCUAGAUCACUUGCUUCAAUCUCAAUAAGAACCAAAACAAAAUUGUAAAAAAGGUUCAAACUUUUUUACAAUAGAGACUUAAAAACAGAAACCUCAUGAUUAAGGACAUGCAAAAAACCCAGCAUAACGACCAAUUAUCUCCAAACGAAACACACAACACACAGAUUAGUCAUAUAUUAAGACGAGCACCACAGAAUCUGUAGCAGCACAAAAUAUUUAAAGAGUCAUUGCACUUGAAAGCUAGCAAGCUGGACUAAAAUAAGAUCAUGUAAUUCGUAACCACAUCAGGAUUCUAAACUGUUUACCAUGGAAUUCAUACAUAACCUUAUAAGUAGUAUGAAUUUUAAUUGUAUCAAGAGAUUAGUGAUUUAGCACCAAAUCACGAAUGAGGUUUUUCAUUUUUUUUUUCUAAAACAUUGAGGAAGGAGACAAAGCUAGGUUAACGAUGGGUAAAACGCAAAUCCGACAAAAGAGGGAAGAACCCAGUAAACAAUCAAAAGCAAAAAACAAAGCAAAGGAGGAGAGAAAGAGAGUACCCUCAUCUCCUGGUUUCCGAAGAAAGUAUAGCUUGCGAAAAGUUUGACCCAUCUCUCACCACCAGAAGCUUAAACCACCCACAAACACAGAGCAGAUGGUGACGAGGACAAUUUUGCGGUGGAGAAGACGGUGAAAUCGUCGGUUUCGAUUUCGAUUUCCACGGUGUGAGAGAGGAGGAGAAGACAAAUCGACGUGGGGGAGAAAAAUAAAAAUGGAAAUGUUUUCGACAAAUAAUGUUAUGGAAAAACAAAUAAUGUUAUGAAAAAAAAUUAUUAACGCCCUAUCACAACUAUCCACGUGGCCUAAGACUUGCCCACCAAAACUUCUUCGCUUCAAACCGAAUGGACCUUAAUUUUACACUAUUCCCAUUAUUU
RNAcentral lists this long non-coding RNA (1054 nucleotides) under Capsella grandiflora. RNAcentral describes it as "long non-coding RNA (CGRA_LNC001660)". The record is from RNAcentral. Lineage: Eukaryota; Viridiplantae; Streptophyta; Magnoliopsida; Brassicales; Brassicaceae.